This 478-nucleotide ribosomal RNA is filed under the name uncultured bacterium. RNAcentral describes it as "partial 16S ribosomal RNA". It matches the Rfam family "Bacterial small subunit ribosomal RNA", at positions 28 to 523 of the family's 1533-position model. The record is from RNAcentral.
GACGAACGCUGGCGGCGUGCUUAACACAUGCAAGUCGAACGGUAAGGCCCUUCGGGGUACACGAGUGGCGAACGGGUGAGUAACACGUGGGUGAUCUGCCCUGCACUUCGGGAUAAGCCUGGGAAACUGGGUCUAAUACCGGAUAGGACCACUGCCUGCAUGGGUGGUGGUGGAAAGCUUUUGCGGUGUGGGAUGGGCCCGCGGCCUAUCAGCUUGUUGGUGGGGUGAUGGCCUACCAAGGCGACGACGGGUAGCCGGCCUGAGAGGGUGACCGGCCACACUGGGACUGAGAUACGGCCCAGACUCCUACGGGAGGCAGCAGUGGGGAGUAUUGCACAAUGGGCGCAAGCCUGAUGCAGCGACGCCGCGUGAGGGAUGACGGCCUUCGGGUUGUAAACCUCUUUCAGCACCGACGAAGCGCAGGUGACGGUAGGUGCAGAAGAAGGACCGGCCAACUACGUGCCAGCAGCCGCAGUAA